GAAAUGCGAUACGUAAUGUGAAUUGCAGCUCCGCGAAUCAUCAAAUCUUUGAACGCACAUUGCGCCUUUUGGCAUUCCAGAGGGCAUGCCUGUUUGAGAACCUUGACGUCCCUCACAACCCCCCAAGUCGCCCUUCACGGGGCGCUCGGGCGGCGUUAGUGGAUCUGGGCGGCUCCUCGUCUUCACGGGCGGGGCCGCUUGAAAGCCAACGAUCGGCUCAUGCCUCUUUGCACAUGGCCAAGACGUGAUAGUAUGGGCAACCAUUCCUGCGUCGACACGCCGACCGCGAGGGCAACUCUGAGACGACUCAACCGUCGCCAGGCGCCACACCUCUCCUCGGAGAGGGGGCGUAGACCUGAACACCUGGUCUCAAAUCAGACAAGACUACCCGCUGAACUUA
RNAcentral lists this unclassified non-coding RNA (400 nucleotides) under uncultured fungus. Its description in RNAcentral is "sequence contains ITS1". The stretch from base 1 to 103 matches the Rfam family "5.8S ribosomal RNA", at positions 50 to 154 of the family's 154-position model. The record is from RNAcentral. Lineage: Eukaryota; Fungi.